UGAACCGAUUUCACUUCUAAUUUUAUUACGUUUAUUCGGUUUUAGGUAUUAUGAUCACUGGGAGAGACGGGAAGUUGUCGGUUUCACCUGCUCGCGAAU
Bombyx mori (domestic silkworm) is the source of this 99-nucleotide non-coding RNA. The record is from RefSeq and is marked provisional. Lineage: Eukaryota; Metazoa; Arthropoda; Insecta; Lepidoptera; Bombycidae.